GGCCUCUUGUUUAUAUAUGAGGUCUGACCUGCCCGGUGAAUUAUUAUUUUAACGGCCGCAGUAUUUUGACUGUGCAAAGGUAGCAUAAUCAUUAGUCUUUUAAUAGGAGGCUGGUAUGAAGGGUUUGACGAGGUGUUAACUGUCUCAUUUAAUUUGAUAUUAAAAUUUAAUUUUUCAGUCAAAAAGCUGAAAUUGUAUUGGAAGACGAGAAGACCCUAUAGAGCUUUAUAAUUAAAGUUUUAAUUUAUUUUUGUUUAUUAUUAUUUAUUAUUAUUUUAAUUAUUUUGUUGGGGUGACAAAAAUAUAUGUAUAACUUUUUUAUUUCUUUAACAUUGAUUAAUGAUUUUUAGAUCCAAUUUUAUUGAUUGAUAGAACAAGUUACCUUAGGGAUAACAGCGUAAUCUUCCUUGAGAGUUCUUAUUUACAGGAAGGCUUGCGACCUCGAUGUUGGAUUAAGAUAAUAAUUAGGUGUAGCCGCUUAAUAUAUAGGUCUGUUCGACCUUUAAAUUCUU
This 512-nucleotide ribosomal RNA is filed under the name Anisogomphus maacki. Its description in RNAcentral is "partial 16S rRNA". It matches the Rfam family "Bacterial large subunit ribosomal RNA", at positions 1829 to 2597 of the family's 2925-position model. The record is from RNAcentral. Lineage: Eukaryota; Metazoa; Arthropoda; Insecta; Odonata; Gomphidae.